This is a long non-coding RNA of Strigops habroptila (Kakapo), 429 nucleotides long. RefSeq lists it as uncharacterized. NCBI's taxonomy places the organism in Eukaryota, Metazoa, Chordata, Aves, Psittaciformes, Psittacidae. The transcript is spliced from 2 exons. The record is from RefSeq and is a predicted model, not a curated record.
AGAUUGCAAGGAGCGAGGCUGCUGCUGGUUUCCUCAUGCGCUCCUCCAGACUGAGGCACUGGCUGCCUUUGGCCUUUCUCCCCUUUGAGGGCAGAGGUGAAACAACCCAAAAUCAAACACUGUUUUUCCUACUUCAUCCUCUCCGCACUGAGAUCAUCACCACCAGACAGCUGUGGGUGGCCCACUGAACAUCUCUGAUCCACAUUAGAGGUGCUGGAGAAAUAGGAGAGGAAAGCUUCUCUUCAUACAGGACUUGCUGGCUCUUCAAUAAUGUGCCAUGUGGGCUAGGAACUGGGAAAUACUGUAACUUGGAAGUGGUACAACGCAGAAGAAGCACAAGCAACAACCAGCUAACAAUAGAAAUGAGUUUUAUUUUGUAAAAAGUUAUAAAAUGAGUAUUGUACAAAAAUAAAGUCUGUAGAGAACUUU